Hemicordylus capensis (graceful crag lizard) is the source of this 5064-nucleotide long non-coding RNA. RefSeq lists it as uncharacterized. The record is from RefSeq and is a predicted model, not a curated record. NCBI's taxonomy places the organism in Eukaryota, Metazoa, Chordata, Lepidosauria, Squamata, Cordylidae. The transcript is spliced from 2 exons.
CUGGCUGCGGUUUCUUCCUCAUCGGCGGCAAUACAGGAGCGUUUUUCAGGGAAGGGACUGGGAUCUGUUUAUUUAGGCUCCUUAAAACGUAUAGCUAAAACAGUUCAUCAAAGGGAAGAAACUGGGAUGCGGGAGUCCAGGGCUCUUUGCUUUGGGGUGGGGGAAAGCAGUGGUUGUAGAAAACAGCCCAUCAAACUGGGAUGUUGGGGGUUCUGUGAAUGUGGGACGCCUCUGCACUUAUUUCUGGCUAUAAAAGGUAGCUUAUCAAAGGGAACAAACUGGAAUGCAGGGGCCUGUCAAGCGGAGGCCUCUGCCCUUUUCAUUGGCCUCAGAAUCAAUGUAUCGGGGAGCUUGAGUCUGUGACCUCCGCUUUCCUGCCUGAGUUACUAAAGAAAGUUGCUCAAAGGGAACUAGGGAUCUGACCCUAUAAUCUUUUGUGCUUAAAAAAAAGAUUCAGAGGGAACCUGACUAGCGAGGUGUGUGCACUUUGGGAGACUGCUGGUGUAUAUCAGGAGCCCAUGUGCAGCUCCCCCAAGUCCUCCUGCUGUGUGUACACCUAGGUGGCCAGAUUUGGCUUUUUAAAAGCCAAAUUCUGGCUUACGGCCCAUUUGACCUACAUGUAUACCCCUUAGGUUCUGGCAUCUCUGGACCUACCUUAGGGUUUGGAGUGCUCCUGAUGCUCUGGAAGUGCUCUGGAAGAUUAGAAACAUGCUGUGGAGGGACCUCAAACGGAGGGCUCUGGAACAACAGCGCGUGUGCAGGGGAACUGGGAGAGUUGUGCAAGCACUUCUGGCACAUCCCUGCAGUCCUAUGAAGCUGUUGCACUUUUUUUAGUCAAGACGAAGGUCAGCCACUGUUUAAAAAGGAUUUCCUUUAAAGAGCAAAUAUAUCCUGCUGUUCAGUUUUUGGCAGACUGCAAUGGAGGUCAAAUAAGAAUGUUCCUGAAAACAGCUUCCCUAUGGCAAGUAAUCUCUGUUAUAAGAAUAUGAGCCCUGCUGCAUCAGGCCCAAGGUGUAUCUAGUCCAGCAUCCUGUUUCCCACAGUGGCCCACCAGAAGCCCCUGAGAAGCCCACAAACAGAAGAUGAAGACACGCCCUUUCCUAUUGUUCCUUCCCUGCAACUGGUAUUCAUUCUGCCUCUGAACCUGAAGAUACCCUAUAGCCAUCAAGACUACUAGCAAUUAAUAGACCUGUCCUCCAUAAAUUUGUCUAAGCUACUUUUAAAGCUAUCACCACAUCUUGUGGCAGAGAAUUCCACAUAUUAUGUGCUGUGUGGAAAAGUACUUCAUUUUGUCUCAGUUUCAUGGGAUGACCCCUAAUUUUUAGCACUGUAAGAGGGAUAAAAAUUUCUGUCUAUCCACUCUUUCUACACCAUGCAUAAUUUAUAACAUUAUUUCUAUAUAUCUCCCCUUAAUUGCCUUUUUUCUGCAUAAAAAAGCCUCAAAUGUUGUAGCCUUACCUCAUAAUUCAGGUUGUAAUUACCACAUGAUAGUCACUGUCACAUGGAGAGUCGCCUGCUCAACAUUGUGGGCAGCUGGCAGGCUAAUGGAGAUUCCCAUCAGAUUGAUGCUGAGGGUGAUGCAUAGUAACCUGUACUAAACAUUUCCUUUUGGACUGAUGAAUCAUUUGCUGUAGGAAGCUAGUUUGGGGCAGUAUCCUUUUGGUGUGUGUGGAUGUGUAAUGUGUAAAUUGUUCAUAAACAAAAGGAAUAUUGCAAGGACAUUCUGUGUGGCAACAACUUAAGUAACUCAUUUAUGGGAAACAGGCCACGCCAAGCAAAUGCAAUGAUAACUUUAACUGAGAUACUGGAAGUGAAUACUCUUCAUAAUCAAUCUUAGGUGUUCAGAGCAAAAAUAACAAUACGGUAAGUGCCCAUGCUGUUUGUAAUCUGGUUGAAUCUGAUGCUUUUAAUACAAAGGACUAAAAAGGCAGAACACAGAACUCUUUAGAUUUGCCUUGGAGAAUGUUUCCUAAUGUAAUACAAAGGGAUAGGGUAGCAUUAAUGUUCUGGAUAGAUUUUGUUCUUUGUUUUAAUUCUAGGAGGUAUACACUGUAUUGCUGAGGACAGAGAGCACAUAAUCUCCAAAGGAAAAAGAAAGCAAAAACCAGAACAAAUGUUGAUAAAGGUAGGGCUCUUCGAAUGGCAUGAGUUGGUGAGGGGAGCCACUUGUUACAUGCCUCACAGUAAUGUCUGAGGCCUAUCCAAGAGGUGCCCGUGAUGCUAGCAAAAUCAGUGCCUGUACAACAAAAGACACGCAAUAGUGAUGUCUCUUGGGGCAAGUGCUGCAGCUUACCACCAACGGGUUUUAGCAGUUUGAAUACUAACUGGAAAAGAUAUCCAGGCAGUUUUGGAUGAUCUAGAGCUAUUUCAAACUGGCUUUCUAGUGGGCUAUAGGGUUGAGACUGCCUUAGUUGGCCUGAUAGAUGAUCUCAAACUGGCUGUUGACAGAGGGAGUGUGACCCUUGGAUUACUCGGCAGCUUUCAGUACCAUCAAUCAUGGUAUCCUUUAUCGCCAGGGUGGGAUGGGAUUAGGUGGCACUGUUUUAUAGUGGUUCCGUUCCUACUUCUCCGGUAGAUUCCAGAUGGUGUCACUUGGAGACUGCUGUUCUGCAAAGUGAGAACCAAAGUGUGGCGUUCCACAGGGCUCCAUACUGUCUCCAAUGCUCUUUAACAUCUACAUGAACCUGCUGGGAGAGAUCAUCAGGAGCUUUGGUGUGGUGUGUUACCAAUAUGCUGAUAAACCCAGAUCUAUUUCUCCAUGUUGACCUCAUCAGAAAAUGGCAUAACUUCCCUAAAUGUCUACCUGGAGGUGGUAAUGGGCUGGAUGAAGGAUAACAAGUUGAAUCCAAAUAAGAUGGAGGCACUGACUAGGGGGUUGGGAUCCGAGAGAUACUUUCGACCUGCCUGUUCUGAAUGGGGUUACACUUCCCCUGAAAGAUCAGGUACAUAGCAUGGGAGUGCUCCUGGAUGCAGAAAUCUCUGGUUUCUCAGGUUGAGACAGUGGCCAGGAGCACUUUUUAUCAGUUUCGGCUGAUAUGUCAGCUAUGUCCAUUUCGAAACGUGAAUGACCUUAAAACAGUGGUACAUAUGCUGGUAACCUCCAGGCUUAACUACUGUAAUGCACUCUACAUGGGGCUGCCUUUGUAUGUAGUGCGGGAACUACAACUGGUACACAAUGCAGCAGCCAGAUUGGUCUCUGGGACUACCCAAUGGGGCCACAUAACACCGAUUUUAAAAGAACUGGACUGGCUGCUGAUAUAUUUCCGAAAGAAAUACAAACUGCUGGUUAUUACCUAUAAAGUCCUUAAUGGUUUGGGCCCAGGGUUUUUAAGAGAGUGCCUUCAUUGUCAUGAACCCUGCUGCCUAUUACAAUCUUCUGGAGAGAUCUGGUUAUGGUUGUCGCCGGCUCAUUUGGUGGCAACACAGGACUGGGUUUUCUCUGUGGCUGCCUCUGGGGUUUUGGAAUAUGCUCCCUGUUGAAAUAAGAGGGAUUCCUGUUUGUUUUCAGGAGGGCCCUCAAGACUCAUGUUCUCGCAAGCUUUUAAUUAGAAUUAAUUUUAAUAAUUUGUUUUAUUUUAUGAGAUUUAUUGUGUUUUGUAGAAUUGUAAUGUUUUUACUCUUUUAUAUUGUGUGUUAAAUUUUGUACACUGACUAGAGAUGUACAUAUCAGGCGGUAUAAAAAUAUGAUAAACAGACCAGACACAGAAGUAUGUAGGACAGGGCUUAAGAAGAUUUGAUGCAAGACAUAUAUAUUGUCUUCUCUCUAAAGCUAUGAAGCCAUAAACAGGUUGUUCCUUAAAAUGUUUCAGUCACAUGAACGCUAUAGAGAUAAUCCAUAGGAUAUGAAUUUUAUUUCCACAAACUCAUUUUGAACUGCACAAAGUUGUAGAAAUCAAAUCCCAUGAAUUAGUAAGCAUCAACCUACACAUUAGGACUGAGAUGCAUUUAAAUGACUGCCUCUUUAAAGUUUUUGCAAGAGCAGCCACAGGGAGCCCUGGACUACCCUUUCCCUCCUAUGCCAUUAUCCAGGUUAUUAUUAUUAUUAUUAUUAAAUAUAUCACUUUUCAACAAAAAAAAGUUUCAAAGCAGUUUAAGUAGCAAAAGGAAAGAGAAAAUGGUUCCUUCUCCCAUACUUGCCAACAUGUCCCUAUCUUUCUUAGCAUCUAAAAGUAACACCACCACAAACACAAACCACCAGCAACAGCCACUGGAGACCUGCUGUGCUGGGCAGAAUAAGGAAAGUUUCUCUCCUCCAGCUAAAGAUAAGAGAGCACCCACUUCAAAGAGGUGCUUUUUGCCCAAUUAGCAUGAGUGAUCAAAAUUCCUUGACCAAAGCUGUUUCCCCCCUUGCUAGUAAAAACAUUUGGAUACCUUUUUAUUAAUGGGGCAAAUUGCUAUUAGUUUUAUUGGGAAACUGUGGGUAGAAAGGGUUAACUCUUUCCCCCUCCCACAGUCCCAGAUUGUCUCAGUUCCCCUCCCCUGUGGCUUCUAUUUGCAAAAAUAUUUUUAAAAAAAAAAUUGAAAGAGACAGGGAUGUAUUUGUGCAUCUUCAUCAUCAAGUCCAGUUUGGCCUUUAGUCUGUCAACAACAUAUUCUACUCUGAUCUCUAAAAAUGUGCAGAGGAAAGCAAAACACCCCCCACUCCAAACCUGCAUAUUUGCAGGGGUGGGAAUGGGGAACAAAACCUUUUAUUUGGGAUUCCUAAAUAUUGUACAGCCAUGCAGAACCUUCCUUGGAGUUCCCCGAUGACUGUGUUAUGUUGUUGUUUAUAAAUUACCACAGGAACCACCAGCUGUCAUCAUAAAAAUUUUAUUGGCACUCUGUAAAUAUUAAAUCAGCAUGCUAAAAUCAUGCCAUGUGCAGUAGCAGCUGAUGCUCUCUUAUGGAGGCAGCUUGAAAAGGAAGGGAUUGUGCUGUGUUGCCUACACGCUCUUAAGUACCUAUGGAUAUUUUGUGAUACUAAUACAGGUUUUGGUUAUGCCGAUGCAUUUAGGCAUUAUCUGUAAACCAAAAGCUUCAUUUAUUCUUGAAAUGAAGUUAUUAUUAAACUUAAUAAUAAUAGUA